UUGAUGGAGGGUUUGAUCCUGGCUCAGGACGAACGCUGGCGGCGUGCUUAACACAUGCAAGUCGAACGGUAAGGCUCCAGCUUGCUGGGGUACACGAGUGGCGAACGGGUGAGUAACACGUGGGUGACCUGCCCUGCACUUCGGGAUAAGCCUGGGAAACUGGGUCUAAUACCGGAUAGGACCGCACCGUGAGGGUGUGGUGGAAAGUUUUUUCGGUGUGGGAUGGGCCCGCGGCCUAUCAGCUUGUUGGUGGGGUAAUGGCCUACCAAGGCGGCGACGGGUAGCCGGCCUGAGAGGGUGGACGGCCACAUUGGGACUGAGACACGGCCCAGACUCCUACGGGAGGCAGCAGUGGGGAAUAUUGCACAAUGGGCGGAAGCCUGAUGCAGCGACGCCGCGUGGGGGAUGACGGCCUUCGGGUUGUAAACUCCUUUCACCAUCGACGAAGGGUUUCUGACGGUAGAUGGAGAAGAAGCACCGGCUAACUACGUGCCAGCAGCCGCGGUAAUACGUAGGGUGCGAGCGUUGUCCGGAAUUACUGGGCGUAAAGAGCUCGUAGGUGGUUUGUCGCGUCGUCUGUGAAAUUCCGGGGCUUAACUCCGGGCGUGCAGGCGAUACGGGCAUAACUUGAGUACUGUAGGGGAGACUGGAAUUCCUGGUGUAGCGGUGAAAUGCGCAGAUAUCAGGAGGAACACCGGUGGCGAAGGCGGGUCUCUGGGCAGUAACUGACGCUGAGGAGCGAAAGCAUGGGGAGCGAACAGGAUUAGAUACCCUGGUAGUCCAUGCCGUAAACGGUGGGCGCUAGGUGUGGGUUUCCUUCCACGGGAUCCGUGCCGUAGCUAACGCAUUAAGCGCCCCGCCUGGGGAGUACGGCCGCAAGGCUAAAACUCAAAGGAAUUGACGGGGGCCCGCACAAGCGGCGGAGCAUGUGGAUUAAUUCGAUGCAACGCGAAGAACCUUACCUGGGCUUGACAUAUACAGGAUCGCGCCAGAGAUGGUGUUUCCCUUGUGGCUUGUAUACAGGUGGUGCAUGGUUGUCGUCAGCUCGUGUCGUGAGAUGUUGGGUUAAGUCCCGCAACGAGCGCAACCCUUGUCUUAUGUUGCCAGCACGUUGUGGUGGGGACUCGUAAGAAACUGCCGGGGUUAACUCGGAGGAAGGUGGGGAUGACGUCAAAUCAUCAUGCCCCUUAUGUCCAGGGCUUCACACAUGCUACAAUGGUCGGUACAGUGGGUUGCCAGUCCGUGAGGGCGAGCUAAUCCCGCAAAGCCGGUCUCAGUUCGGAUCGGGGUCUGCAACUCGACCCCGUGAAGUCGGAGUCGCUAGUAAUCGCAGAUCAGCAACGCUGCGGUGAAUACGUUCCCGGGCCUUGUACACACCGCCCGUCGCGUCAUGAAAGUCGGUAACACCCGAAGCCAGUGGCCUAACACAUUUUGUGGGGGAGCUGUCGAAGGUGGGAUUGGCGAUUGGGACGAAGUCGUAACAAGGUAGCCGUACCGGAAGGUGCGGCUGGAUCACCUCCUUU
RNAcentral lists this ribosomal RNA (1523 nucleotides) under Corynebacterium amycolatum. Its description in RNAcentral is "16S ribosomal RNA". It matches the Rfam family "Bacterial small subunit ribosomal RNA". The record is from RNAcentral. Lineage: Bacteria; Bacillati; Actinomycetota; Actinomycetes; Mycobacteriales; Corynebacteriaceae.